CCCUUAGAUGUUCUGGGCUGCACGCGCGCUACACUGAUGCGCUCAACGAGUUUAUGACCUUGCCCGGAAGGGUUGGGUAAUCUUUUCAAAACGCAUCGUGAUGGGGAUAGAUUAUUGCAAUUAUUAAUCUUCAACGAGGAAUUCCUAGUAAGCGCGAGUCAUCAGCUCGUGCUGAUUACGUCCCUGCCCUUUGUACACACCGCCCGUCGCUCCUACCGAUUGAAUGUUCCGGUGAGCUCUUCGGACUGCGCGGUCUGCAGUUUCUGCGUUCCGUGCGGAAAGUUGCGCAAACCUUAACAUUUAGAGGAAGGAGAAGUCGUAACA
RNAcentral lists this ribosomal RNA (324 nucleotides) under uncultured eukaryote. Its description in RNAcentral is "partial 18S ribosomal RNA". It matches the Rfam family "Eukaryotic small subunit ribosomal RNA", at positions 1470 to 1796 of the family's 1831-position model. The record is from RNAcentral.